RNAcentral lists this ribosomal RNA (253 nucleotides) under uncultured bacterium. RNAcentral's name for it is "partial 16S ribosomal RNA". It matches the Rfam family "Bacterial small subunit ribosomal RNA", at positions 524 to 776 of the family's 1533-position model. The record is from RNAcentral.
UACGUAGGGUGCAAGCGUUGUCCGGAAUUACUGGGCGUAAAGAGCUCGUAGGUGGUUUGUCGCGUUGUCCGUGAAAACUCACAACUCAAUUGUGGGCGUGCGGGCGAUACGGGCAGACUGGAGUACUGCAGGGGAGACUGGAAUUCCUGGUGUAGCGGUGGAAUGCGCAGAUAUCAGGAGGAACACCGGUGGCGAAGGCGGGUCUCUGGGCAUUAACUGACGCUGAGACGCGAAAGCCAGGGGAGCGAACGGG